UGCGAUCCUGACAAAGAAGAAGCGACUCAAUCGGGUCAGAUUAAGAAUCAGCCGAUUUUGAUUUUGGUGUCGGAGACGAAGGAGUACGGCGGCACGGCCAGAUUGGUCGGCGCGGGCCCCUGACGGAUACGGCCCGACGAGUCGUACUGCGAGCCGUGGCACGGACAGAAGAAGCCGUCGUAGUUGCCUUCAUGGGCGAUCGGGAUACAGCCGAGAUGCGUGCAGAUGCCGAUCACGACGAGCCACUGGUCGUGGCCUUCCUUGACGCGCGACUGGUCGCUCUGCGGAUCGGGCAGGCUCGCGGUCGGAACGGCGCGCGCCUCGUCGAUCUGCUUCUUGGUGCGGUUCAUGAUGUAGAUCGGCUUGCCGCGCCAGAACACCUUGAUGUCCUGUCCCGUCGCGAUCGGC
RNAcentral lists this unclassified non-coding RNA (408 nucleotides) under Hevea brasiliensis (rubber tree). The record is from RNAcentral. Lineage: Eukaryota; Viridiplantae; Streptophyta; Magnoliopsida; Malpighiales; Euphorbiaceae.